CUGCCCACUGAAUUUUUAAAGGGCCGCAGUAUUUUGACUGUGCAAAGGUAGCAUAAUCAUUAGUUUUUUAAUUGAAAGCUAGAAUGAAUGGUUUGAUGAAAAAGUUUCUGUUUCAGCUUUAAUAUUUAGAAUUUUAUUUUUAAGUUAAAAAGCUUAAAUUUAUUUUAAAGACGAGAAGACCCUAUAGAGUUUAACUUAAAUUAAAUUUGUAAAUUUUAGAAUUUUAAUUUUAUAAUUUUAGUAGAGUUUUGUUGGGGUGACAGAAAAAUUAAUUUAACUUUUUUUUUAGAAAAACAAAAAUUUUUGAUUAAUUGAUCCAUAAAGUAUGAUUAUAAGAUUAAAUUACCUUAGGGAUAACAGCGUAAUUUUUUUUGAAAGUUCUUAUUGAAAAAAUAGAUUGCGACCUCGAUGUUGGAUUAAAAUUAAUGUUUGGUGAAGAAGCUAAAUUGUUAGGUCUGUUCGACCUUUAAAAUUUUACAUGAUCUGAGUUUAAACCGGUGUAAGCCAGGUUGGUUUCUAUCUUAAAGAGAGGAUAGAAUUUUAGUACGAAAGGACCAAGUUCUAUGUUAAUAACAUAAAUUAAAGAAUUUUAUUUUGGCAGAUUAGUGCUAAGGAUUUAGAAUCUUUAUAUGUAUUUUAUACAAAUAAAAAUUGAUUUUACAUUAAUUUUGUUGAAUUUUUUAAUUAUAACUUUAGGGGUUUUAGUAGGAGUGGCUUUU
This 719-nucleotide ribosomal RNA is filed under the name Henosepilachna vulgaris. Its description in RNAcentral is "partial 16S ribosomal RNA". The stretch from base 1 to 547 matches the Rfam family "Bacterial large subunit ribosomal RNA", at positions 1859 to 2925 of the family's 2925-position model. The record is from RNAcentral. Lineage: Eukaryota; Metazoa; Arthropoda; Insecta; Coleoptera; Coccinellidae.